AUUGAACGCUGGCGGCAGGCCUAACACAUGCAAGUCGAGCGGAUGAAGGGAGCUUGCUCCUGGAUUCAGCGGCGGACGGGUGAGUAAUGCCUAGGAAUCUGCCUGGUAGUGGGGGAUAACGUCCGGAAACGGGCGCUAAUACCGCAUACGUCCUGAUGGUGAAAGUGGGGGAUCUUCGGACCUCACGCUAUCAGAUGAGCCUAGGUCGGAUUAGCUAGUUGGUGGGGUAAAGGCCUACCAAGGCGACGAUCCGUAACUGGUCUGAGAGGAUGAUCAGUCACACUGGAAGUGAGACACGGUCCAGACUCCUACGGGAGGCAGCAGUGGGGAAUAUUGGACAAAGGGCGAAAGCCUGAUCCAGCCAUGCCGCGUGUGUGAAGAAGGUCUUCGGAUUGUAAAGCACUUUAAGUUGGGAGGAAGGGCAGUAAGUUAAUACCUUGCUGUUUUGACGUUACCAACAGAAUAAGCACCGGCUAACUUCGUG
RNAcentral lists this ribosomal RNA (484 nucleotides) under uncultured bacterium. RNAcentral's name for it is "partial 16S ribosomal RNA". It matches the Rfam family "Bacterial small subunit ribosomal RNA", at positions 30 to 507 of the family's 1533-position model. The record is from RNAcentral.